Carassius gibelio (silver crucian carp) is the source of this 2372-nucleotide RNA transcript. RefSeq lists it as uncharacterized. The record is from RefSeq and is a predicted model, not a curated record. The transcript has 3 exons. Lineage: Eukaryota; Metazoa; Chordata; Actinopteri; Cypriniformes; Cyprinidae.
AGUUAUGUUGACCUACGGUUAAGCACUUUUACAGGUGGGUGCUCCAAUUUCUCAGAGGUUUUGUGCUAAUUGCCAGUAUUGCUCUUUCAGUCACCUUUUUAUCUGUUAGAUUUGGUUUAUUUGUUAACUUCAAACAAUCAUAUUAUCGCCUAUUAAUUUUUGUUCGAUGGCCUAUUUUGCUUCAUGUGUUUGACCUUUAUUGGCUCGAUCAGAAACUCUUUUUCAAUCAACUUGGCUUGCACUGCGUUAACCUACCACUACUACAGGUUCCACUACUGUGGCUAUUUUUAUUAUUAUUUUAUCUGUUAUUGUUGUUGUUGCUGUCCGUGAUGAGAGUAAACUAUUAUGAAACCUAUUGCAGAAUAGAUAGAAGAGUUUUUUGGCCAUAGGACAUUUUUACAUCGGCCACAUUUUAACGUAACACAACAGAAAGGUACAAACGCAGAAGAAGAUCAUCACAGUCAUGGCGGAGGAGGAUGAACUGUAUAACUUCCUUCGCAAUCGUGGAGUGCCAGAGGACACGUUAAAUCGCAUGAUUGAGCAAAAGAUUGACCACUCAACAGUAAUAACAAUGGAUGACAACACAUUGGAGAGAUUCCUGCCAGCCCUUGGUGAUAGGGUUGCAUUAAGGCAUUACUGUGACAAUGGCAACCACGUUAAGCAAUCUAGAAAACUAAGUCUUGUAGAAAAACUAAGGAAGAAAAUGAAGCUUGGACAUGCCUCAAACUUCUCAGAGGAUGCCGGUGAAAAGGAGGAAUGUGGGAGCACAAGAAAGUCAAUGAUUGGAAACAAAAAUGCUUACAAAGACACAAGACGGAUUGAACUUGGAUGGAUACACAAUGGAAAACAAGUUCGAACAAAAUGUGGUGGUGGGACAAGAAAGCUGUCUGUUCCGAAAACUGCUGGUUAUGAUGACCUCAUCGAGCUGGGAAAGGAGUUUUUUUUUCCUCGGGGGCAGUCAAAGAAAGGUCCUCAAGUCAGUUUCUCUUUCAAAAUAUAUGAUUUUCAAGAGUGUGAAAUGCCCCAUGAUAUCACUGUAGGAGGGCUGUAUGUUCCAGACUGUCAGUUCUCUUUGUUGAUGAAUGUGGCAUUGAUGCAUCUGGUGUUGCCCGGGAUGCAUAUUCAGGAUUUUGGGAAGCUUUUUUCCUGAAUUGUGCAGAUGGGGAAACUGACUGUGUCCCAGCACUUCAGCCUGAGUAUGGAAAAGAAGAAUGGGAGGCAGUAGGUAGAAUUCUACUAAAAGGGUACCAGGAUCAUGGAUUCUUUCCAGUGAAGCUGUCUUUGGCCUUUGCAGUCUGUCUCCUUCAUGGGGAGAACAAAGUGACACCAGACAUGCUGAUUGAAUCUUUUCUGAGGUUUGUCACGCCAUUUGAGAAAGACAUCAUCAGCUCUGUGCUGGAAGGAAGAGAGUAUGACAUGGAUGACCUACUCGACAUACUUUCCAGAAUGGGUGGGCACGCUGUACCUGAUGGAGAUGCCAUAAAGGACACCAUCAUACAGACUGCGCACAAACAACUAAUACAGGAGCCAAUGUAUGCUCUUAAAAUGAUGGCUGCUAGUGCUCAGUGUACUUUAAAAAGUCUGCUUCCAACUGUGUCUGCAGUUUUAGCACUUUAUGAAUCCAAAAUUCCAACACCAAAAGGCAUUAUUGCGUUGCUUAAACCCAAUGAGAAACAACCUUCUCACAGCAAAACAAUGCAGUUUUUAAAGCUGUUCAUUCGAUCACUUGACAAAGAUAAACUGCGUAAAUUUCUGCGCUUUACCACUGGGGCUGAUGUUAUUUGUGUUUCACACAUUGAUGUUGAGUUUACAGAUGUCAGAGGUUUACAAAGGUGUCCAGUGGCACAUACAUGUGGUCCACUGUUGCAGAUACCCUGCACUUACAGUACCUACUCUGAAUUUCGAAGAGAGUUUGGGAGUGUCUUAGAUGCCAACUACUUGAAAAUGGAUCUGUUGUAAAGCUUACAAUAGCUUGUAAGGUAAAUUAUGUGCAUGUCCAGCUAAACUACAUUUUGAAAAUGUUCUCCAGGUAUGGCAGUGGUAAAGGCUUAUAUAUUGUGUUCAUUUGUGUUGUAUGGGACAAACUUAAAGACAUCAUGGGUCUAAUAAGACAUUUCUGUUUUGAAAACCAUACAUUGUCAAACAUUUCUUUUUGUUGGCCUUAGACAUUUCAGUGUUACCUAAAUAUGAGUCCCAGAAGUUCAUGUUACAAUCCCACUAGUGUUUUAAUAUGUACCAGUUGUGUUCUUAUAAGGCAGUUUUAGAAUUUAUUUGAACCAGGAAUACAGAUGGCCUACCUGCAAUACUAUUUCAUCUUGUGUUAUAUGACCUUAUGUCAGUACCUCUUGGUAAAUAAAUAGGCUGUCUUUGAA